Molecule: long non-coding RNA, 531 nt
Filed under: Elaeis guineensis (African oil palm)
Lineage: Eukaryota; Viridiplantae; Streptophyta; Magnoliopsida; Arecales; Arecaceae
Description: long non-coding RNA (EGUI_LNC026543)
Source: RNAcentral
AAAACUCUGACACUAGCUAUCCCAAGCUAGAACACUUGUUUUCCGGGUACAAGCAAACCCAAAACACUUCGAUUUCAGGUUCGGAUCAACCUUUCCUUAUUUUGAAAAUCCUCCAAAAACAAGAGCAAAAACUCACAAAGAGUAAGAAUAUUUAGAGCACAGAUUAAUACAAUAACAGCUCCUUAAAUGAGCAAAUAUAACAAUAAAAGCUUUACUCAAAUGAAGAACCCCUUUUUUCAGAAUUUCUCAAAGUGGAUGAACGCUUGAACGCUUGAGAAGAGGUUGAUUGUUGAUUGAAGAUCUCUUGAAAGCUUUGAACGAUCUCUAGAUCAAGGUUGAAACAAUAUGCGUGAAGAAUUCUCUCCUUGAAAGAUCUUGCUUUUCUCUUUCACAAUCUCUCUGGUAUAUUGUGGAUCCUCUCUCUUUUUCUCUUUGGAUUUUUCGUUGAUCUCAGGCUUUUUCUUGCAAAUUUCGGAUCCUCUCUUCUGUUCUUCUCUUUUUCUUUCUCUUUCUCUUCUCAUUUGAUUUCAC